UACGGAAGGGGCAAGCGUUGUUCGGAAUCAUUGGGCGUAAAGGGCGCGUAGGUGGUUUUGUGUGUCUACCGUGAAAGCGUACAGCUCAACUGUAUUUUGUCGGUAGAAACUGCAGGACUUGAGGCUGGGAGGGGCUGGUGGAAUUCCCUGUGUAGCGGUGAAAUGCGUAGAGAUGGGGGAGAACACUCGUGGCGAAGGCGGCCAGCUAGACCAGUUCUGACACUGAGGCGCGACAGCGUGGGGAGCAAACAGG
RNAcentral lists this ribosomal RNA (253 nucleotides) under uncultured bacterium. Its description in RNAcentral is "partial 16S ribosomal RNA". It matches the Rfam family "Bacterial small subunit ribosomal RNA", at positions 524 to 776 of the family's 1533-position model. The record is from RNAcentral.